AUCCAAGCUAUAACAUAUUUAGCUCUACAGAGAGCAUCUUCUCCAUUCAGCCUUCUGACUGCCAGGGGAGCCACAAGCAGAGGUGAAUUUUCAGCAAGUAAAAGGUACAUAUUGGAAUCAUAAAAUGCUGAACUUGGUUGAGGCCGUGCCAGUUAGCAUUAGCACCAGGAGUGUCACCAUUCACAUCAUCAACAAAACCAACUACCACAUUCUGACCGACCCAAAGGAAUUCCUGAUAAGUGGUGGAACCCGCAUCAAUCCAACAUCCUCAAUCAAGCCCAUGGAGAGUCAAUUCUGCUCUUUCGUUAAAACGAAUCAAUCACUAAAAGGCAGCGUUGGUGUUCUGACCUAUUAACUUCACGCAAUGCAAAGUAACAUUUACAAAGAGAUCUUAGCCAUCAUGUUCUCUGUGCCCUAUGAUUACAACCUGUUCAGUAACUGGUUUGCUGUGGGCAUCUUUGGAAGUGUCUGUGCCUGUGACAACAAUCUGUUUGAUAAGAUGUACUAUAAUUAUUUGGAUAGGAGUUUUGCUAGGAGUAAGGCCGGCUCACAGAUCAACUAUGAGGGAAAGUUCCACAGUGUGAAGGCCAGUAUGUCUGACUAUGCCAGUGCCAUCCUCACGGUGGAGCUGUUGAAUAAUGUAGUCUGAAACACAUACUUCUCUUGAAGACCUCUGAGGUAUGAGGAAGUAUGGAAAUACCCAGAUCAAUGAAACACACCAGGCUAAUAUUUACUACUUAUAAUGUUAAUUGAUGCUUGAUGGCUCACAUUCUUAAAAAAGAUUUCACUCUGUCUUAACCUACAAAAAUUAACAUCAUAUGUAAUAAUCACUUUGUUAAACUUUUAGUUAUAACUCUUCAAGGACAAGUCAUUUAUUGUCAGAUGCACAGAACAACACAGGGUCAGACUGGGCACUGAAAUUCUUUGGACAAGACAACGCAAAGCAACCUGGCAUAACAUGACAUAUAAGUACUCACAACUCUUUUAUGUGUUAUAAAUUUGGGUUUACAAUAAACUUGGAUUUCACCUUUAUUAACCAAUAAUGGUGGUACCUACAUGUAUGAACACCUGUACGUGAUAAACACUUUGUUAAACAUUUACUUCUAACUUGGGUUUUUGGAAUUGGGAAUUUGGGUUUACAAUAAACCUGUGUUGUGAACCCAGUUUCAAGACUUCAGUCCACCAUUUCUUGAACCUGAGAGCGAUGAAUGACAUGGUAGUUUGAUGAUGGGGUCUUUCUCAAACAGCUGCAUGUAGAUCCUUCUAGAUUCACUGUCACCAGACAAACUUGUGGCUGGGAUCUAAUAUAUAAGGAUAUUUGAUUUCAUA
Molecule: long non-coding RNA, 1329 nt
Organism: Osmerus eperlanus (European smelt)
Lineage: Eukaryota; Metazoa; Chordata; Actinopteri; Osmeriformes; Osmeridae
Exons: 3
Source: RefSeq, a predicted model, not a curated record